This is a long non-coding RNA of Ornithodoros turicata, 3910 nucleotides long. RefSeq lists it as uncharacterized. The record is from RefSeq and is a predicted model, not a curated record. NCBI's taxonomy places the organism in Eukaryota, Metazoa, Arthropoda, Arachnida, Ixodida, Argasidae. The transcript is spliced from 11 exons.
UCGCAUGUACGAUUUAUUGCAACGCAGAAGUAGUUGAUGUUCAAAUUUUUCACCUGUAAGCUUCGCCAGUUGGGCUGAGAGGACGCCCAAUGACCAGUGAGUGCUCCUUGUCAAGGUUGGUAGAGACGGCGACCUUUUAUCUCACAUAGUACAAAUCCAAACAGCCAAUCCCUUGGUACUUUGUUACAUGUUCAGAGGGUAGAUAGGCUAUUUUUCUGCCGCUUUUGCCCCAGUCGUCCGAAAAAUACCAGAGGGAGUGAAAAACAGAGGUGGUAAACAAAGGUGACAUCUCAACCAGGCUAGACCAACAACCCUUCUUUUGAGUUUUUCCUGGGUUCCGACGUGACCUUCUUGUCAUUGUUGAAGGUGAAUACAAAAAAAAUCGUGAAUUUUCCCGGAUUCUGCAGGCACGGUUCUCGCACAAGCUUUCAAGUUUAGACGAUGAAGCAAUGUUCCUGAACACGCAGUAAUGCAUAACGCCGUUACGCGUUAGUUAUUAAAAAGGUAAUGACGUUACGUUGCUCAUUACUUUUCUCCCAAAUGUAAUGCAUUACCAUAUUUCACUACUCGAAUGUCACGCGCUACCGGUAACGCACUACUUUGUAACGCGUUAUUCCCCACCUAUGGUCGGAUGACAUCAUAUUCUUUUGCCCUUUUCAAAUUCCCUACCCAUUUCACGAGCCCCUUCCAAUCUGUCACAGGUAACCUGGGAUUCGCGAAUCUCAGUUUGGGAAACACUGAGCUACAUUGUUCUACUCUGCAGUCUCUGAGCUCCAAAACUUGGUGCCUGCAUCAGUGUCAUCGAAUUAUUGAACUAACAGUUGCCUCUAAGCUGUAGUAGUACGUUCCUUGUGCUCAGGAAGCAUGAUCGCGGAUUCCAUCGAAUAAUCCAAGUUGACAACCACUGCUCUACGCUCUUGGAACAUAUAAUUCAUUUUCCUGUCAAGAAAUUCCUGCAUUCCCAAUGUUAUUUUUCUCUAAGUGGGACAGCGUGGUUCCAGGAGGAUUAUUCGUGUGAGAUCCAGACUUCUGUACCGAUGACCUUCCUUGACAUGACUGGUAACUCCUCGCUGACUAUAGACAUCGUCAGGUGACUUAAGGUUAUGCAAGACCUCUUCAGGUGACCUCAACAGAUUCUAGAUGAAUUCGUGUGAGUUCAGCGGACUCCAGCUGUCUUCAGGGGGUUUCAGGUUACUCCAGACGUCUUCAGAUGACUCUAGCCGUCUCCAAGUGACUUUACCUGACUCCAGACAUCCUCAUGUGGAUUCAGGUCUUCAGGUGACUCCAGACGUUUCCGGACGUCUUCAGGUUACUUCAGGUGACUCGAGAUCUUUUCAAGUGGCUCCAAACCUCUUCAGGUGACUUCAGGGGUCUCGAAAUGUCUUCAGGAGACUUCAAGUGACCCCAGAUGUCUUGACGUGGUUCCAUACGUCUUCAGAUGACUUCAAGUGACUUCAGAUGCCUUCAUGUGGCUCUAGACGUCUUCAGGUAACUUGGGAGUGGCAACUCACAGCUUAGAGAGCUCCAGCGGUCUUCCCUACAAUAUCUGAACUCUGGAACAUGACCUCAUCAGGUGACCUCGAGAGGCUGUAGACGCCUUCAUGUGAGACCAGGGGACUUCAGGCAUCUGGAGAUGACUUCAGUUGACUUCAGAUCCAUGACAAAAAACCCGAAACUGGGAAAAAGACGAAAAACAGACGACACAACACAAAGUCUCAAGUCUCGGGUUUUUCGUCAUGGAUCUUAGCCACCAGCUCGCUUGCUUUUUAACCAUUUUAUCUGGACUUCACAUGUCUUGACGUGGCCCCAGACGUCUUCAGCUGACUUCGAGUAACUUCAAGUGACUUCGGAUGACUCCAGAAAUCUUCAGAUGGCUUCAUGUGGCUCCUGACGUCUUCAGGUGACUUCGAGUGACUUCACGUGACUUCAGGUGACUCCAGACGUCUUCCGGUUUCUUCAGACCUCAUCAGGUGACCUCGAGAGACUAUAGACGCCUUCGUGUGAGAUCAGGGGACUCCAGACAUCUGCAGGAGGCUUCAGGUGACUCCAGCCGUCUUCAGGUGACUUCAGAUGGCUUGACGUGGCCCCAGACGUCUUCAGUUAACUUCGAGUAACUUUAAGUGACUUCAGAUGACUCCAGAUGUCUUCAAGUGACUUCAGAUGACUUCAGGGGACUUCAAGUGGCUUCAGGGGACUUCAGAUGACUUCAUGUGGCUCUAGACGUCUUCAGAUGGCUUGACGUGGCCCCAGACGUCUUCAGUUAACUUCGAGUAACUUUAAGUGACUUCAGAUGACUCCAGAUGUCUUCAAGUGACUUCAGAUGACUUCAGGUGACUCCAUAUGUCUUCAUGUGGCUCUAGACGUCUUCAAGUGACUUUGAGUGGCUUCAGAUAACUUCGAGUGGCUUCAGGUAACUUUGAGUGGCUUCAGGGGACUUCAAGUGGCUUCAGGGGACUUCAGAUGACUUCAUGUGGCUCUAGACGUCUUCAGGUGACUUCGAGUGACUUCAGGUGACUCCAGAUGUCUUCAAGCGACUCCAGGUGACUACAGACAUGUUCCGGUUUCUUCAGCUGACUUGCUACAGACCUUCAUACCUCAUCAGGUGACCUCGAGAGACUAUAGACGCCUUCGUGUGCGAUCAGGGGACUCCAGACAUCUUCAGGAGGCUUCAGGUGACUCCAGCCGUCUCCAGGUGACUUCAGAUGGCUUGACGUGGCCCCAGACGUCUUCAGUUAACUUCGAGUAACUUUAAGUGACUUCAGAUGACUCCAGAUGUCUUCAAGUGACUUCAGAUGACUUCAGGUGACUUCAAAUGUCUUCAUGUGGCUCUAGACGUCUUCAGGUAACUUCGAGUGGCUUCAGGUAACUUCGAGUGGCUUCAGGUAACUUCGAGUGGCUUCAGGGGACUUCAAGUGGCUUCAGGGGACUUCAGAUGACUUCAUGUGGCUCUAGACGUCUUGAGGUGACUUCGAGUGACUUCAGGUGACUCCAGAUGUCUUCACGUUACUUCACAGACUACAGACUUCAGGUGACUUGACAGACUUCAGACCUCAUCAGGUGACCUCGAGAGACUAUAGACGCCUUCGUGUAAGAUCAGGGGACUCCAGACAUCUGCAGGAGGCUUCAGGUGACUCCAGCCGUCUUCAGGUGACUUCAGAUGGCUUGACGUGGCCCCAGACGUCUUCAGUUAACUUCGAGUAACUUUAAGUGACUUCAGAUGACUCCAGAUGUCUUCAAGUGACUUCAGAUGACUUCAGGUGACUCCAGAUGUCUUCAGUGGCUCUAGACGUCUUCAGGGGACUUCAAGUGGCUUCAGGGGACUUCAGAUGACUUCAUGUGGCUCUAGACGUCUUCAGGUGACUUCAGGUGACUCCAGAUGUCUUCAAGCGACUUCAGGAGACUUCAGGUGACUACAGACAUGUUCCGGUUUCUUCAGCUGACUUGCUACAGACCUUCAUACCUCACCAGGUGACCUCGAGAGACUAUAGACGCCUUCGUGUGAGAUCAGGGGACUCCAACAUCUGCAGGAGACUUCAGGUGACUCCAGCCGUCUCCAGGUGACUUCAGAUGGCUUGACGUGGCCCCAGACGUCUUCAGUUAGCUUCGAGUAGCUUCAAGUGACUUCAGAUGACUCCAGAUGUCUUCAAGUGACUUCAGAUGACUCCAGAUGUCUUCAAGUGACUUCAGAUGACUCCAGACGUCUUCAAGUGACUUCAAGUGACUCCAUAUGUCUUCAAGUGACUUCAGGUGACUCGAGAUGUCUUCAAGUGACUUCAAAUGACUUCAGGUGACUCCAGAUGUCUUCAUGUGGUUCUAGACGUCUUCAGGUAACUUCGUGUGGCUUCAGGAGACUGCGGAUGUCUUCAUGUGACUUCAGGUGACUUCAUGUGGCUCUACACGUCUUCAAGUG